RNAcentral lists this ribosomal RNA (164 nucleotides) under Eragrostis leporina. Its description in RNAcentral is "Ectrosia leporina 5.8S ribosomal RNA". It matches the Rfam family "5.8S ribosomal RNA". From Rfam's summary of the family: 5.8S ribosomal RNA (5.8S rRNA) is a component of the large subunit of the eukaryotic ribosome. It is transcribed by RNA polymerase I as part of the 45S precursor that also contains 18S and 28S rRNA. The record is from RNAcentral. Lineage: Eukaryota; Viridiplantae; Streptophyta; Magnoliopsida; Poales; Poaceae.
CACACGACUCUCGGCAACGGAUAUCUCGGCUCUCGCAUCGAUGAAGAACGUAGCAAAAUGCGAUACCUGGUGUGAAUUGCAGAAUCCCGCGAACCAUUGAGUUUUUGAACGCAAGUUGCGCCCGAGGCCUUUUGGUCGAGGGCACGUCUGCCUGGGCGUCACGC